The sequence is a transfer RNA, 105 nucleotides long. It matches the Rfam family "tRNA". Rfam says of the family: Transfer RNA (tRNA) molecules are approximately 80 nucleotides in length. The record is from Rfam.
CCAGCCUUAGCUCAGUUGGAAGAGCAACUGACUGUAGUGCGUUAAAUAGCACUGUUUGAAAUCACUGUUAUCAGUGGGUCACUGGUUCGAAUCCGGUAGGCUGGA